This 708-nucleotide unclassified non-coding RNA is filed under the name Hevea brasiliensis (rubber tree). Lineage: Eukaryota; Viridiplantae; Streptophyta; Magnoliopsida; Malpighiales; Euphorbiaceae. The record is from RNAcentral.
CCCUCUCUCUCUCUCUCUUUCUCUCUUGCUUAGUUUCAAUUCCUUCUCUCUCUCUUUCUCUCUCUACUUGGUUUCCUUUCCUGUUCUCUCUGUUGAGCUUUCUUGAGAAUAGAUAGAGAGAAAAUGAGCAACAUAAGCAUGGUGGAGGCAAAGUUGCCUCCAGGAUUUAGAUUCCAUCCAAAAGAUGAUGAACUUGUGUGUGAUUACUUGUUGAAGAAGAUCACGAAUCAUUCUGAUUCUCUUCUCAUGAUAGAAGUUGACCUCAACAAGUGCGAACCUUGGGAUAUUCCUGAAACAGCAUGUGUGGGGGGAAAAGAAUGGUAUUUUUACAGCCAGAGAGACAGAAAGUAUGCAACAGGACUAAGAACAAAUAGGGCAACAGCAAGUGGGUACUGGAAGGCGACAGGGAAGGAUCGUCCUGUCCUUCGUAAAGGCAACCUUGUUGGCAUGAGGAAGACUUUGGUCUUUUACCAGGGCAGGGCCCCCAAAGGAAGAAAAACUGAUUGGGUUAUGCAUGAGUUUCGUCUUGAGGGAUCUCUUGCUUCCCCUAAGACUUCUCCUCACAAGGAGGAUUGGGUGUUAUGCAGAGCGUUCUACAAAAACAGAGAAGUUGCUGCAAAACCAAGCAUGGGAAGCAGCUAUGAUGACACAGGCUCUCCAUCUCUUCCACCAUUAAUGGAUUCUUACAUCACUUUUGACCAAACUCAA